GCCGAGUAGCUUGUAACUCGAGUGGGGGCACUAAGGUGAUGUUGACGCCGUUGUAGCGUUGCGGGCCUGGUCUGGGAGUGCUACUGCUGGCCCGCCCGUUUCAAGUUGCAUAGUGGACCGGCUGGGGCCUAUGCGAAAGCUGGGCCUCACGUUCUAUAAUGUGGUAGGCACAGCGUGAGGCUGGCUUCACAGAGCAGCGACAAGUGCCCGCUUCCAACGGUGGAAGGAUAACGGACCGCUGCACUCCUUGACAAUUUUGAAUUUUCACUUUGUACAUUUGACUUC
This 285-nucleotide signal recognition particle RNA is filed under the name Triticum aestivum (bread wheat). RNAcentral's name for it is "SRP RNA Plant_SRP". It matches the Rfam family "Plant signal recognition particle RNA". The record is from Rfam by way of RNAcentral. Lineage: Eukaryota; Viridiplantae; Streptophyta; Magnoliopsida; Poales; Poaceae.